GCCCCGUUAGCUCAGUGGCAGAGCGUGCUCGUCUUUUCUUCGGCAAGGCGCUGGUUCGAUUCCAGCACGGGGCA
This 74-nucleotide transfer RNA is filed under the name Stachybotrys chlorohalonatus IBT 40285. RNAcentral describes it as "tRNA-Lys (TTT) (tRNA-Lys-TTT-2-1)". It matches the Rfam family "tRNA". From Rfam's summary of the family: Transfer RNA (tRNA) molecules are approximately 80 nucleotides in length. Their secondary structure includes four short double-helical elements and three loops (D, anti-codon, and T loops). The record is from RNAcentral. Lineage: Eukaryota; Fungi; Ascomycota; Sordariomycetes; Hypocreales; Stachybotryaceae.